CUAGGUAUCCAGAGGCGGUUGCAUUGAAGAACAUCGAUACAGAGACGGUGGUAGAAACAUUGGUAGAAAUAUUCAGCAGAGUUGGCAUUCCAAAAGAAGUUCUGUCGGACAUGGGUACGCAAUUUACCUCCAACAUCAUGAAAGAGGAAUAAGUGGACAGAUAACCACAGGUAGACUGCAAGCCCUCAAGGCAUUCACACUAACUCCCCAGAAUCGGCGGCCCACACACGAUUGUAGGCAAACUAGAAUUUUUGUAGAGCAUCAUACGUGCAGAUAAGCUUUGUGGAGUUCAACGAGCAAAAAACAAAAACAUGGUGUUCCAAGUCUUCCUCUGUAUAUUUGUAACAUUGUCUCAACCCUGGAUCGCACGUAGUUCUGGGGACUCCUCGACAAACGAAAUAUUUAGAUGGGUUCCACGUGGAUGGGAUGGAUUACCGCUAUUCUGUCCAAAUUGGUGUCAAGACACUUCUUCCACUGGAACUAAGACAGACCAAUGUUGUGCUUGUCACGCUAAAAGUAUUUUGGAUUACAGUGACAAUUUUCUCUCUUUAAAUGUUUCAAAAGAGGUAUAUUUGGAAGGGAAUAAAUCUCAUGGAAAUAUGGUUCUAGAAUAUUCGUACAAAUAUCUUCAAUGCUUUCUGAGUAACAUACAAACAAACUUAUUACAAAAUCGUCUUUUAAAAGUACCGAUUCUGCCUUGCCUUCAAAAUUUAUGUGAUUUUCUAGGAAUAACAAGAGUAAACUUAUCUCACAAUCUAAUCCUGACAAUUCCAAAUCUUACCUGUCUCGCAAACCUAACGCAUCUGGAUUUGUCGUGGAAUUUAAUAACAGUUUUAACUAAACAUUCUCUUGUUGGAAAUAGGAAUCUAAGGUAUGUCAACCUAUCCAAUAAUUCCAUUAGUUAUAUAGAGCCGGGGAC
This is a long non-coding RNA of Saccostrea cuccullata (small rock oyster), 919 nucleotides long. RefSeq lists it as uncharacterized. The record is from RefSeq and is a predicted model, not a curated record. The transcript has 3 exons. Lineage: Eukaryota; Metazoa; Mollusca; Bivalvia; Ostreida; Ostreidae.